CAGCCUUAUUGAAACACUGAUUCACUUAUGAUCACCGAAGUUAAGCAAGAUCGAUUCUGUUCAGUACCUAGAUGGGUGACCGCUUAGAAACACCAGGAGCUGUAA
Molecule: non-coding RNA, 105 nt
Organism: Acanthosepion pharaonis
Lineage: Eukaryota; Metazoa; Mollusca; Cephalopoda; Sepiida; Sepiidae
Source: the annotation of a GenBank genome assembly